CCAGCAAACAUUAAAAAAAAAAAACAAACAAACGGAAGAAAGCAAACCAUAUUCCAAGCAUCCAACCUCAUCCACAGGUGGAUGGAGAAAAUCCCAUUACAGAAGAGGCAGGGGAGGGAUGCAACACCAAUAAAGCAAAGGAGAUGAACAACACAUAAAAAAAAAAAACCCUAACUCUAAUCCUCAGAAGCAAACAUUAAAAUUGAAAUGUAACAAAAAUUAACCUAAAAAAAGCACGAACCAUAUCCAAACAGGGAUCCCAAAAGUGCUAUAGUUAAACUUGCAUAUAGAAGGCAAAUCUAGAGACAUCUGGUGUCAUUUUUCUCUGUGGAUUGUGCUUGAAAGUGUUUAGUUCCAAACUGAAGAUGCUAGUAUCAAGUGUCUUUUUAAUCAACCUUAAAAUCAAUCACAACAAAAGGAAUUACGUCCAAGACCUUAACAACAAAUGCAAAUCAAUCUUGAUUAGGAGAAAACCACAGACCGAACCCCCCAAGAAAAACAUAAGAAAUCUUCAUCUUCUUCGACGUGGCCUCCCCCCUUUUCUCUUUUCUUGCCUAGUUGUUUCAGAAAAGAAAAAAAAGAAGAUGAAGAAACUGAUUUGAUAAGCUGCAAGUUUCCAAAAACUCAGGAGACAAAAUGUGACGGAGAAGCUGCC
RNAcentral lists this long non-coding RNA (655 nucleotides) under Populus trichocarpa (black cottonwood). RNAcentral's name for it is "long non-coding RNA (PTRI_LNC003147)". The record is from RNAcentral. Lineage: Eukaryota; Viridiplantae; Streptophyta; Magnoliopsida; Malpighiales; Salicaceae.